GAUUUCUGACUUAGCGCACCUGGCCCGCCACAUUUACGUGUGUGAGUGCCGGGAUGCGCUUGUCACUUUUCUGGUAAACCAUUGUGCUCUUCACUGAGUGUGAUGGGUAGCCAGAUAUUUUACUUUGAAAAGAUUAGAGUGUUUAAAGCAGGCGUUUGCUAUGAAUACAUUAGCAUGGAAUAAUAAGUUAGGACUUCGGUUCUAUUUUGUUGGUUUCUAGGACUGAAGUAAUGAUUGAUAGGGACAGUUGGGGGUGCUAGUAUUCAGCGGCCAGAGGUGAAAUUCUCGGAUUCGCUGAAGACUAGCUUAUGCGAAAGCAUU
Molecule: ribosomal RNA, 321 nt
Filed under: Allapsidae sp.
Lineage: Eukaryota; Cercozoa; Glissomonadida; Viridiraptoridae
Description: SSU rRNA
Rfam family: Eukaryotic small subunit ribosomal RNA (bases 59-321)
Source: RNAcentral